This 202-nucleotide ribosomal RNA is filed under the name uncultured bacterium. RNAcentral describes it as "partial 16S ribosomal RNA". It matches the Rfam family "Bacterial small subunit ribosomal RNA", at positions 331 to 525 of the family's 1533-position model. The record is from RNAcentral.
CCCUACUCCUACGGGAGGCAGCAGUAGGGAAUCUUCCACAAUGGGCGCAAGCCUGAUGGAGCAACACCGCGUGAGUGAAGAAGGGUUUCGGCUCGUAAAACUCUGUUGUUGAAGAAGAACGUGCGUGAGAGUAACUGUUCAUGCAGUGACGGUAUUCAACCAGAAAGUCACGGCUAACUACGUGCCAGCAGCCGCGGUAAUA